AAAUAUAUCAGAUGAGGGUUUCCCCGUGUAACUGUAGCCCAGGCAGCGUAGAUAAAGCUUAUAAAGGAGAGAUGUAGACGGCGAGGAACCAGGAAUUUCACUGGAAGUACGUGAGAAACCUUAAGAGGACUGCACCUUCUACACACCUUGAGGGCACGUCUUGAAAGGGCUCAAAAUGAGUGAGAUACAGCUCUGCAGGAGAGUCUCCAUCAGCUGAGCUUUGAGAAGGAUAAAGGGCACCCCCCAAACGGGGGCUUAUUGGGAAAAGUCCCAGUGUCAACUUGGGGAAAAAAAUAAUAGCACAAAGGAAGACCUGUGAGUUGAGUUUCUUCAGUGCCUUACUGAGGACUGUGGCCUGGAGACAGCCUCUCAGAUAUCCCUGAAGAGCUAUUCUGAAAAGAGCACAGAGUGCCUCUUGAUCUUUUCCCGGAAUUCCUCUCAGUGUGUACUGCGGGUCAGUGAUUGCUGUGGCUAAUAACGCAGGCCUUGUAGAACUGGAUGGUGGGCAAAAUUCUUCAGUUUACUCCAGGCUCCUCCUAUUCCAGCUGCUGCUGAAGGACAAUCACAUGCCUGGCAGCCAUUGCCUGGAAAAAGAACUCUCUUUCACUUGAGAAAGUGGAGGUUGAGCCACCAAAGGCUGGGGAAGUUCGUAUUAAGAUAUGCAUUUUUUACAGAUUGAAGGUUUGUGGCAACCCUGUGUUGAGUAAACCUGCUUGUGCCAUCGAGCAUUAAUCCAGAAGAGGGCAGAAGGCUGUUCAGCCGUGACACGGACGGGCACAGCAGCAACCCAGAAACACAGAGUUGUAAGGAGAGAAAUGAACACCUUUAGCUCCAGAUCACAACAAACUGUGGGAAAUUCUUAAAGAGAUGGGAAUACCAGACUACUUUACCUGCCUCCUGAGAAAUAUGUAUGCAGGUCAGGAAGCAACAGUUAGAACUGGACAUGGAACAACAGACUGGUUCCAAAUCGGGAAAGAAGUACAUCAAGGCUGUAUAUUGUC
Long non-coding RNA from Dama dama (fallow deer), 1001 nucleotides. RefSeq lists it as uncharacterized. The transcript is spliced from 6 exons. NCBI's taxonomy places the organism in Eukaryota, Metazoa, Chordata, Mammalia, Artiodactyla, Cervidae. The record is from RefSeq and is a predicted model, not a curated record.